RNAcentral lists this transfer RNA (75 nucleotides) under Rhodococcus phage Grayson. RNAcentral describes it as "tRNA-Arg". It matches the Rfam family "tRNA". Rfam says of the family: Transfer RNA (tRNA) molecules are approximately 80 nucleotides in length. Their secondary structure includes four short double-helical elements and three loops (D, anti-codon, and T loops). Lineage: Duplodnaviria; Heunggongvirae; Uroviricota; Caudoviricetes. The record is from RNAcentral.
GCCGCUAUAGCUCAACUGGACAGAGUAAUUGACUACGAAUCAAUUGGUUGGGGGUUCGAAUCCCUCUAGUGGUAC